Molecule: ribosomal RNA, 301 nt
Filed under: uncultured bacterium
Lineage: Bacteria
Description: partial 16S ribosomal RNA
Rfam family: Bacterial small subunit ribosomal RNA
Source: RNAcentral
CAGUAGCCGCGGUAAUACGUAGGGCGCAAGCGUUAUCCGGAAUUAUUGGGCGUAAAGAGCUCGUAGGCGGUUUGUCGCGUCUGCCGUGAAAGUCCGGGGCUCAACCCCGGAUCUGCGGUGGGUACGGGCAGACUAGAGUGAUGUAGGGGAGACUGGAAUUCCUGGUGAAGCGGUGAAAUGCGCAGAUAUCAGGAGGAACACCGAUGGCGAAGGCAGGUCUCUGGGCAUUAACUGACGCUGAGGAGCGAAAGCAUGGGGAGCGAACAGGAUUAGAUACCCCAGUAGUCCCUGUCUCUUAUAC